GAUGAACGCUGGCGGCGUGCUUAACACAUGCAAGUCGAACGGAAAGGCUCCUGCUUGCAGGGGUACUCGAGUGGCGAGCGGGUGAGUAACACGUGGGUGAUCUGCCCUGCACUUCGGGAUAAGCCUGGGAAACUGGGUCUAAUACCGGAUAGGACGAUGGUUUGGAUGCCAUUGUGGAAAGUUUUUUCGGUGUGGGAUGAGCUCGCGGCCUAUCAGCUUGUUGGUGGGGUAAUGGCCUACCAAGGCGUCGACGGGUAGCCGGCCUGAGAGGGUGUACGGCCACAUUGGGACUGAGAUACGGCCCAGACUCCUACGGGAGGCAGCAGUGGGGAAUAUUGCACAAUGGGCGCAAGCCUGAUGCAGCGACGCCGCGUGGGGGAUGACGGCCUUCGGGUUGUAAACUCCUUUCGCUAGGGACGAAGCGCAAGUGACGGUACCUGGAGAAGAAGCACCGGCUAACUACGUG
RNAcentral lists this ribosomal RNA (466 nucleotides) under uncultured bacterium. Its description in RNAcentral is "partial 16S ribosomal RNA". It matches the Rfam family "Bacterial small subunit ribosomal RNA", at positions 28 to 507 of the family's 1533-position model. The record is from RNAcentral.